RNAcentral lists this ribosomal RNA (370 nucleotides) under Bacillus tequilensis. RNAcentral's name for it is "bacterial SSU rRNA". It matches the Rfam family "Bacterial small subunit ribosomal RNA", at positions 973 to 1344 of the family's 1533-position model. The record is from RNAcentral. Lineage: Bacteria; Bacillati; Bacillota; Bacilli; Caryophanales; Bacillaceae.
ACCAGGUCUUGACAUCCUCUGACAAUCCUAGAGAUAGGACUUCCCCUUCGGGGGCAGAGUGACAGGUGGUGCAUGGUUGUCGUCAGCUCGUGUCGUGAGAUGUUGGGUUAAGUCCCGCAACGAGCGCAACCCUUGAUCUUAGUUGCCAGCAUUCAGUUGGGCACUCUAAGGUGACUGCCGGUGACAAACCGGAGGAAGGUGGGGAUGACGUCAAAUCAUCAUGCCCCUUAUGACCUGGGCUACACACGUGCUACAAUGGACAGAACAAAGGGCAGCGAAACCGCGAGGUUAAGCCAAUCCCACAAAUCUGUUCUCAGUUCGGAUCGCAGUCUGCAACUCGACUGCGUGAAGCUGGAAUCGCUAGUAAUCG